Molecule: ribosomal RNA, 132 nt
Filed under: Dysidea sp. QMG318930
Lineage: Eukaryota; Metazoa; Porifera; Demospongiae; Dictyoceratida; Dysideidae
Description: 5.8S ribosomal RNA
Rfam family: 5.8S ribosomal RNA
About the family: 5.8S ribosomal RNA (5.8S rRNA) is a component of the large subunit of the eukaryotic ribosome.
Source: RNAcentral
CGGUGGAUCUCUUGGCUCGUGCAUCGAUGAAGAACGCAGCAAGCUGCGAUACCUAGUGUGAAUUGCAGAAUUCAGUGAAUCAUCGAGUCUUUGAACGCAAAUGGCGCUCCCGGGGUCUCCUCGGGAGCAGGU